RNAcentral lists this ribosomal RNA (370 nucleotides) under uncultured organism. RNAcentral's name for it is "bacterial SSU rRNA". It matches the Rfam family "Bacterial small subunit ribosomal RNA", at positions 526 to 896 of the family's 1533-position model. The record is from RNAcentral.
CGUAGGGUGCGAGCGUUAAUCGGAAUUACUGGGCGUAAAGCGUGCGCAGGCGGUUUUGUAAGACAGAUGUGAAAUCCCCGGGCUCAACCUGGGACCUGCAUUUGUGACUGCAAGGCUAGAGUACGGUAGAGGGGGAUGGAAUUCCGCGUGUAGCAGUGAAAUGCGUAGAUAUGCGGAGGAACACCGAUGGCGAAGGCAAUCCCCUGGACCUGUACUGACGCUCGUGCACGAAAGCGUGGGGAGCAAACAGGAUUAGAUACCCUGGUAGUCCACGCCCUAAACGAUGUCAACUGGUUGUUGGGUCUUCACUGACUCAGUAACGAAGCUAACGCGUGAAGUUGGCCGCCUGGGGAGUACGGCCGCAAGGUUG